AUUGAACGCUGGCGGCAUGCCUUACACAUGCAAGUCGAACGGUAACGGGCCUUCGGGUGCCGACGAGUGGCGAACGGGUGAGUAAUACAUCGGAACGUGCCCGAUCGUGGGGGAUAACGAGGCGAAAGCUUUGCUAAUACCGCAUACGAUCUACGGAUGAAAGCAGGGGACCGCAAGGCCUUGCGCGGACGGAGCGGCCGAUGGCAGAUUAGGUAGUUGGUGGGAUAAAAGCUUACCAAGCCGACGAUCUGUAGCUGGUCUGAGAGGAUGAUCAGCCACACUGGGACUGAGACACGGCCCAGACUCCUACGGGAGGCAGCAGUGGGGAAUUUUGGACAAUGGGCGCAAGCCUGAUCCAGCCAUGCCGCGUGCAGGAUGAAGGCCUUCGGGUUGUAAACUGCUUUUGUACGGAACGAAAAGCCUUCUUUUAAUACAGGAGGGUCAUGACGGUACCGUAAGAAUAAGCACCGGCUAACUUCGUG
Molecule: ribosomal RNA, 482 nt
Filed under: uncultured bacterium
Lineage: Bacteria
Description: partial 16S ribosomal RNA
Rfam family: Bacterial small subunit ribosomal RNA
Source: RNAcentral